UACAGAGGUCUCAAGCGUUGUUCGGAUUCAUUGGGCGUAAAGGGUGCGUAGGCGGCGCGGUAAGUCGGGUGUGAAAUCUCGGAGCUUAACUCCGAAACUGCAUUCGAUACUGCCGUGCUUGAGGACUGGAGAGGAGACUGGAAUUCCUGGUGUAGCGGUGAAAUGCGCAGAUAUCAGGAGGAACACCGGUGGCGAAGGCGGUUCUCUGGGCAUUACCUGACGCUGAGGAGCGAAAGUGUGGGGAGCGAACAGG
RNAcentral lists this ribosomal RNA (253 nucleotides) under uncultured bacterium. Its description in RNAcentral is "partial 16S ribosomal RNA". It matches the Rfam family "Bacterial small subunit ribosomal RNA", at positions 524 to 776 of the family's 1533-position model. The record is from RNAcentral.